Molecule: long non-coding RNA, 380 nt
Filed under: Physcomitrium patens
Lineage: Eukaryota; Viridiplantae; Streptophyta; Bryopsida; Funariales; Funariaceae
Description: long non-coding RNA (PPAT_LNC000861)
Source: RNAcentral
UUGUCUUGUUUUAGAAGUGAGUAGAUUACUCUACUUCUAUUGUUGUAUUUUGAAGGUUGUAGAUUAUCCACGUUUAAACAAAUUAUUUAAUUUUCUAACAUUGAUUUUUUUUUCUUUAAAAAGAACAAAUUAUAUCUUUCUUUGUAAAAAAUUUCAUUUGAUAGUAGAGAUUGCAAAUUAUCCUUCUCUCAUUUGACUUGUGGAAUUAUUAACUUAUUUAAAAUGGAAGGAAAAAUUAUAAAUUCUAUACUUAGUAAAAGUGAGAAUAGAUUUAUAACUAUUGUAGAUCUUUGUGAACUUGUCAAUAUUCUUAGAAUAGAAAUUUCAUGCAUCAUGAUUGCCAACUAUAGAAACACUAAUCCUAUGCCCAUAGAAGAAGU